This is an RNA transcript of Nycticebus coucang (slow loris), 1431 nucleotides long. It is a transcript of the gene named CCA tRNA nucleotidyltransferase 1, mitochondrial-like, with no coding region annotated. The record is from RefSeq and is a predicted model, not a curated record. The transcript is spliced from 2 exons. Lineage: Eukaryota; Metazoa; Chordata; Mammalia; Primates; Lorisidae.
CUGGGGGAAGGCGGGAGCAGGGUGUGGCCAGAGGCCUCCGUGGCACUGGAUGCAUGGUUGGUGACUUUCCAGAUGCUGAGGUACCUGCAUUCUAGGCACAGGCCAGUACUGAGCUGUAGUUGGGCUAGGCUGUGCCUUCUGAAGCGGUGUCUGUUUACAAUGAAGUUGCAGUCUCCAGAAUUCCAAUCGCUUUUCACAGAAGGAUUGAAGAGUCUGACACCAAGUUGGUACAGAGAUGAAUAAGAAUUAUUUGUCAAAGAGAACCAUGAAUUAAGAAUAGCAGGAGGUGCAGUGAGGGAUUUAUUAAACGGAGUGAAACCUCAGGAUGUGGAUUUUGCCACCACUGCUACCCCGACUCAGAUGAAGGAGAUGUUUCAGUCGGCUGGGAUUCGGAUGAUAAACAACAAAGGAGAAAAGCACGGAACAAUUACUGCCAGGCUUCAUGAAGAAAAUUUUGAAAUUACAACACUACGGAUUGAUGUCCUCACUGAUGCAAGAUAUGCUGAGGUCGAAUUCACAACUGACUGGCAGAAAGAUGCUGAACGCAGAGAUCUCACUAUAAAUUCAAUGUUUUUAGGUUUUGAUGGCACAUUAUUUGACUAUUUUAAUGGUUAUGCAGGUUUAAAAAAUAAAGUGAGAUUUGUUGGACAUGCUAAACAGAGAAUACAAGAAGAUUAUCUAAGAAUUUUAAGAUAUUUUAGGUUUUAUGGGAAAAUUGUAGACAAACCUGGUGACCAUGAUCCUGAUACUUUGGAAGCAAUUGCAGAAAAUGCAAAAGGCCUGGCUGGAGUAUCAGGAGAGAGGAUUGGGGUUGAACUGAAAAAAAUUCUUGUUGGUAACCAUGUAAAUCAUUUGAUUCACCUUAUUUAUGAUCUUGAUGUAGCUCCUUAUAUAGGUUUACCUGCUAAUGCAAGUUUAGAAGAACUAAACAAAGUCUGUACAAAUGUUGAAGGAUUUUCACCAAAGCCAAUGACUCUUUUGGCCUCAUUAUUCAAAGUACAGGAUGAUGUAACAAAAUUGGAUUUGAGGUUGAAGAUUUCAAAAGAAGAGAAGAACCUUGGUUUAUUUAUAGUUAAAAAUAGGAAAGAUUUAGUUAAAGCAACAGAUAGUUCUGAACCAUUGAAACCCUGUCAAGACUUCAUUAUUGAUUCUAGGGAACUUGAUGCGACUACUCGUGUGUGUGAACUACUGAAGUACCAAGGAGAGCACUGUCUCCUAAAGGAAAUGCAGCAGUGGUCCAUUCCUCCAUUUCCUGUCAGUGGCCAUGACAUCAGAAAAGUGGGCAUUUCUUCAGGAAAAGAAAUUGGAGCUCUAUUACAACAGUUGCGAGAACAGUGGAAAAAAAGUGGUUAUCGAAUGGAAAAAGACGAACUUCUAAGUUACAUAAAGAAGACCUAAAAUUCAUGGCUAAUAAAAUCCAGAAAAUUUGGG